Molecule: ribosomal RNA, 253 nt
Filed under: uncultured bacterium
Lineage: Bacteria
Description: partial 16S ribosomal RNA
Rfam family: Bacterial small subunit ribosomal RNA
Source: RNAcentral
UACGUAGGGUGCGAGCGUUGUCCGGAAUUAUUGGGCGUAAAGGGCUCGUAGGCGGUCUGUCGCGUCGGGAGUGAAAACUCAGGGCUUAACCCUGAGCCUGCUUCCGAUACGGGCAGACUAGAGGUAUGCAGGGGAGAACGGAAUUCCUGGUGUAGCGGUGAAAUGCGCAGAUAUCAGGAAGAACACCCGUGGCGAAGGCAGCUCGCUGGGACGGUACUGACGCUGAGGCGCGAAAGCGUGGGGAGCAAACGGG